This 230-nucleotide ribosomal RNA is filed under the name uncultured bacterium. Its description in RNAcentral is "partial 16S ribosomal RNA". It matches the Rfam family "Bacterial small subunit ribosomal RNA", at positions 118 to 347 of the family's 1533-position model. The record is from RNAcentral.
UGAGCAAUCUGCCCUUUUCAUCGGAAUAAGCGUUGGAAACGACGUCUAAUGCCGAAUACGACCUCCUUUCGCAUGAUCGGAGGUGGAAAGCUCCGGCGGAGAAGGAUGAGCUCGCGGCCUAUCAGCUAGUUGGUGUGGGUAAUGGCCCACCAAGGCGAGGAUGCGUAGCCGACCUGAGAGGGUGAUCGGCCACAUUGGAACUGAGACACGGUCCAGACCUCGUACGGGAG